AGUGAACGCUGGCGGUAGGCCUAACACAUGCAAGUCGAACGGCAGCACAGUAAGAGCUUGCUCCUACGGGUGGCGAGUGGCGGACGGGUGAGGAAUACAUCGGAAUCUACUUUUUCGUGGGGGAUAACGUAGGGAAACUUACGCUAAUACCGCAUACGACCUACGGGUGAAAGCAGGGGAUCUUCGGACCUUGCGCGAUUGAAUGAGCCGAUGUCGGAUUAGCUAGUUGGCGGGGUAAAGGCCCACCAAGGCGACGAUCCGUAGCUGGUCUGAGAGGAUGAUCAGCCACACGGGAACUGAGACAGGGUACAGACUCCUACGGGAGGCAGCAGUGGGGAAUAUUGGACAAUGGGCGCAAGCCUGAUCCAGCCAUACCGCGUGGGUGAAGAAGGCCUUAGGGUUGUAAAGCCAUUUUGUUGGGAAAGAAAAGCAGCAGGUUAAUACCCCGCUGUUCUGGCGGUACCCAAAGAAUAAGCACCGGCUAACUUCGUG
This 492-nucleotide ribosomal RNA is filed under the name uncultured bacterium. RNAcentral's name for it is "partial 16S ribosomal RNA". It matches the Rfam family "Bacterial small subunit ribosomal RNA", at positions 29 to 507 of the family's 1533-position model. The record is from RNAcentral.